Equus caballus (horse) is the source of this 4485-nucleotide non-coding RNA. The record is from RefSeq and is a predicted model, not a curated record. NCBI's taxonomy places the organism in Eukaryota, Metazoa, Chordata, Mammalia, Perissodactyla, Equidae.
UCAGAAAUGAAAGAGAGACAUCACUACAGAUCCCAUAGACAUUACAAGAUAAUAAAGGAAUACUGUGAACAACUCUGUUCCCACGAAUUUGAUAAAGUAGGAGAAAUGGACCAAUUUCUUGAAAGACACAAUCUGCCAAAACUCAUACAAGAAGAAAUAGACAAUCUAAAUAGGCCCAUGUCUAUUACAGAAAUUGAAUUAAUAAUUCAUAAUCUUCCAAAAUAGAAAGCAGGUUCACUGGUAAAUUCCAGGCAUUUCAGGAAGAAAUUAUGCCAAUUGUCUGUAAUCUUUUUCAGAUGAUAGACGCAGAAGGAAGACUUUCUAACUGAUUUUAUGAGGCCAGCGUUACCCUAAUACCAAAACCAGACAAAGACAUUAGAAGAAAAGAGAACUGCAGAGCAAUAUCUCUCUUGAACAUAGAUGCAAAUUUCCUCAACAAAGUAUUAGCAACUCAAGUCUUACAAUGUGUAGAAAGAAUUAUAUACCACAGUCAAGUGGGAUUUAUCCCAGGCAGCCAAGACCAUUUCAACUUUCGAAAAUCAAUUAAUGUAAUCCAUCAUGUCAACAGGCUAAAGAAGAAAGCUCACAUGAUCAUAUCAAUAGAUGCAGAAAAAGCAUUUGACAAAAUCCAACACCCAUUCAUGAAUGUAGAUUAGGGAUUGCCUAGGGCUGCUGGAGGGAGGCACUAGGGAAGGGGGAAUGACUGCUGAAGGUAGAGAGUUUCUUUCUGAGGUGAUGACAGGUGCUAAAACGAUUGUAGUGAUUCUCACGCAACCCUGAAUAUACUAACAACGGUUGAAGCACACAUGCGAAGGGAGUGACUGUGUGGUCUGUGAAUUACAUCUCAGUAAAACUGUUACAAAAAAUAAAUGAAGAAAAGGAGAAGAGGCAGAACAGCUCAGCACUGGGCAGCAGGCUUGGAGGGAACUAGUGAAAUAUAUGUCAUGGGAGCUGAGAAGAGUGGGUUUCUAGAAAGAGGGAUGGUUAACUGGGUUGAACGCUGCCUAGGGGGUAAAUACAGAGAGACCAGAGAAUUGACCAUUUAGUCUGGCAACAUGGCAGCAAUUGCUGAACGAUGCUCGUGGUGGAGUUGAGGGGGAAGCCAGCUGGAAUGGAUCGGAGAAGGAGGUGAGCAAGGAAGACAACCACUGAUGGCUUCUUCAGGAAAGUUUGCUUAGGAGGGACGUAUGGAGUUCUGGCGCUUCGUGUUUUGGAAGAUGCAACAAGACUCAGACGUAGUUUUUGUUCUCCAGGCUUACGGAGUCAGGAAGGACCUGGAGCCCCCGUCACCACGUCGUCCAGUGCCGGGGACUCUGGUGGCUCAGCAGGAUGGCCGUCCUGCCUGUUGGCACAUCCACUCGGCUGAGGAACUUCUCGCCGAUCGUGUUUUGCCAGCUCAGCUUUGGCCCCGUGCCUCUGGGCUUCUCAGAAGGUAACCUGACCUUCCUAUUUGUUUGCCAUCGUCUCUUGGCACCUCAUCCCCACGUCCUGGGCAGCUGUGAGCGGGAGACUUUCUGCCCAGGACGCUUCUCUCUCCCGGUCCUUCCUCUGCGGGGGCGGUACAGACCCUCAGUGGCAGCCCCUCCGCCAACAUUGCUCUUCCUCUGCUCUCCUCACUUUCUACCCCUGGGCCUUGGACCCAACGCCCUGACACCCAUGCAGCCCCUUCGGCUCAGAUGCGUCCACUGUCCGCCGCAGUGACUGUGGUUUUUCGGGGACACCUACAACCUCCUCUUGUCAUAGCGGGUGGAAGGCCUGGUAGACCAAAUAGAGGACCUCAUGGGUCCUAUUCGAGAGCCACAAUACUAUUAUCAUUAACUGGAUGGAUGGAGGAUCAGGCUGAGUCACCUGGACAGGCCACCCAGCUGGUGAGGAUCAGGGCGGGGGCUCAAACCCACAGAGUCAGAAUGCCCAAGGGUGUGUGCUUGAACACGCACCUGGACAAUACGAGGGCGAGUGGGACGGGGGAAUAUCGAGGGGGCUCUUCAUAAAUCCUUCCACGUCACCAGCAGGCUCUCAUCUCUCUUUUUCUGUCAGUAGAUUUAAUAGGUUGUGAACUGACGCAUAAAUUCCCAAAAGUAGGUUUGUUCUUUAAUAAGAUGUGUAUUUAAAUAUCUCAUUCUCUCUUUGUAGGGAGAAUAAAAUGCGUUAAAAACAGGAUGACAGAGUAGGCCUGGGGGAAAAGUUCAGAAAAAAUGGCAGUUUUUGUCCUCUCUGGCAUCCAGUAAGACAGACUCAUGGAAAAGACAGGGCACCAUGGCGAUGUCAAGGGCGGGCAUCCUUUCCCUGUCUGGAGGACCUGCCCUGAGCCAGCGGGACCUCGGAGCCACACGCGUGUGAACAUGGGGCUGUGGACACGUUGUGAGAAUGCCACUUUCCCAGUGGUGCCUCAUGUUCAUCUUGUGAUUGCCAGAGUGUUUGACGAGUGCAUUGAUGAACGUGGAGGAGCUGCAUUGAAUUAUGCCCCUGGACUCUGGGCUGGACAGCUUGGGAAGAGAAGCUUGUACACGGACAGUGAAUACGCAUGUGACAGGAAUGGAAGGACAGAGAGAGAAAAGUGACAGCGCCACCAAAGACUGAUGGAGCUGUGAAGGUGAGGUGGGGAUGUUGACACAGAGACCAGAGGGGCUUCUGAAGACCGAGGCUGGAGCUGUGGCAGGGGUGCUGCUGGAGGUCGUAGACAGCGGUGGAACAUCCUGCCUGGUUACCCAACAGUAUGUUCUGGGCUAUUUGAACUCUGUCACAAAAGGUGCUCUCUACUGAGAUUCCUGUGCCUGCCAGCCUGCCAGCCUCUCCACCCAAUGAAGAGCCGCUCUGAGGAAGGAGCAGCAGAGGCCCGUCCUGGAUCGCAGGCUCGUCUCUCCAGCAUUUGGGCACUUGCGGACACCACCCCUUUCCUUGAGCUUGUCGGCGCUGAUAUAAUGACGAGACACGUUUCCUUGGCUUCCUCCCAGACAGCCUCUCGCUGGGUUUCCUGUACUCUGUCCUGCCGUUGUGGAAGAUGUUUGGAGCUGAAUAGUCCCUCACAACCGGAAUGCCACAGCCGUUCAUCCCUCCUUCCAGAUGGCAUCUACUGCAGAGUCGCCACUCAGGAAGUUUGAAGGGGCUUUAAAAUGCAUGUGUUACGGUUUUCUCCACAUCUCCAGUCAGCUGGUAAUUUCUAUUACUCUCAUCACGAAUCAUGUUUCCAUCCCCUUUGCUUCUGCUUUUGGUAAAAACCAGUUAUUUCCUACCUGGCCUAUUAUUCCCCUCUUUCACUGCAUUUCUUGGGGCCCCAGACCCUCAACCUUCUCACUGAAGUGUCUUAGUGUUGGUGCUAGAACUGCCCUCACAGAGUUCUGUGCAAUGACUCCGGGCUCUCCCUGAGCCCCUUCAGAGCUACUCACUGCUCUGGUCUCCCUUCCUCUUUUUCCGAGGACUCUGAUCCCGUCACCGGGCCUCACACUCAUGACCUCCUCUAAAUCUAAUCACCUCCCACAGCCCCACCUCCAAAUGCCAUGCCCUUGCGAGCCAGGGCUCCAGCACGUGGCCUUGAGGGGACACGAGCGUCCGGUCCAGUCUGCUCCUGCUUGUGUGCCUGGUUGUCUGGGUGAGCGUCUUUCUGCAAACUCACUAGUCAUGCAGGAUGUUUCUGUACACACGGAUUUACUGCUUGAUGAAGUCCAGGGUGACCUGCCGCGUUUCCCCAGAACUCCCUCCACUCACCUUCCCUCGAGUGCUGUCCUGAGCACUGCUCCCGAGGUGGCCUGCACCAUGGCGGCCAGGGCUCCUCCCCGUGCGGAAGAGGAGCCCUGGGGGGCGUCCGUGAAUCCUGCUUCCUCAGCUGCACAGCUGGGAGCCUGCGGUGCUUCUAUUCUUUGGUUUCUAUCUUAAAAGAGUUUUGUUUUCUGCCUAUUUUUGCUGAGCUUCCAGCAUUUAUUGGAGAAUAGUUGGACAAAUCAAUUUGUAAUCUCGAUGCAUUCGUUUCCUGUGCUGCUGUGAUGCAUCACCACAAACUUAGCGGCUUGAAGUAACACAGAUGACGUAUUCUACGGUUCCGGAGGCCAGAAGUCCAAAAUGGGUCAGGUCUAAAAGCUGGGUGUCGGCAGGGGUGCAGUCCUGCUGGAGGCUCUGGAGGGAAUCCACUUCCUUCCCUUUUCUGGAUCCGGGGCCACCUGCAUGCCUUGGCUCCUGAUCCCACGUGCCUCAGACCUCUGCUUCCAUGGUCACAUCUCCUUCUGACCCGGAGCCCCUGCCUCCCUCUUCUAAGGACCCUUGUGAUCACAUUGGGCCCACAUGGAUCACCCAGGAUCCCCCCCUCAUCACAAGAUCCUUAACUUGCUCACAUCUCCGCAGUCCCUUCACCAUGGAAGAUAACUUCCAGGGUCCAGAGAUUAGGACGAGGGCAUCUUUGAGGGGCAUCGCUUGCCUCUCCCCCUCUACUUAUUUGUCCUUUGAACCUGUGGAUAAUACGUUGAAUUGGAAAUAAACAUAUUAAUAUUCAAA